This 410-nucleotide ribosomal RNA is filed under the name uncultured bacterium. RNAcentral's name for it is "bacterial SSU rRNA". It matches the Rfam family "Bacterial small subunit ribosomal RNA", at positions 355 to 776 of the family's 1533-position model. The record is from RNAcentral.
UGGGGAAUAUUGGGCAAUGGAGGAAACUCUGACCCAGCGACGCCGCGUGAGGGAUGAAGGCCUUCGGGUUGUAAACCUCUUUCAGCAGGGAAGAAGCGAAAGUGACGGUACCUACAGAAGAAGCACCGGCUAACUAUGUGCCAGCAGCCGCGGUAAUACAUAGGGUGCAAGCGUUAUUCGGAUUUAUUGGGCGUAAAGAGCUCGUAGGCGGUUCGAUUAGUCGGGUGUUAAACCCCCAGGCUCAACCUGGGGCAGCCAUCCGAAACUGUCGUGACUAGAGUUUGGUAGGGGAUCACGGAAUUCCUGGUGUAGCGGUGAAAUGCGCAGAUAUUAGGAGGAACACCGAUGGCGAAGGCAGGUCUCUGGGCCAUUACUGACACUGAGGAGCGAAAGCGUGGGGAGCGAACAGG